This 495-nucleotide ribosomal RNA is filed under the name uncultured bacterium. Its description in RNAcentral is "partial 16S ribosomal RNA". It matches the Rfam family "Bacterial small subunit ribosomal RNA", at positions 28 to 507 of the family's 1533-position model. The record is from RNAcentral.
GACGAACGCUGGCGGCGUGCCUAAUACAUGCAAGUAGAACGCUGAAGGAGGAGCUUGCUCUUCUGGAUGAGUUGCGAACGGGUGAGUAACGCGUAGGUAACCUGCCUUGUAGCGGGGGAUAACUAUUGGAAACGAUAGCUAAUACCGCAUAACAGUAGAUGUUGCAUGACAUUUACUUAAAAGGUGCAAUUGCAUCACUACCAGAUGGACCUGCGUUGUAUUAGCUAGUUGGUGGGGUAACGGCGCACCAAGGCGACGAUACAUAGCCGACCGGAGAGGGGGAUCGGCCAGACUGGGACUGAGACACGCCCCAGACUCCUACGGAAGGCAGCAGUAGGGAAUCGUCGGCAAUGGGCGGAAGUCUGACCGAGCAACGCCGCGUGAGUGAAGAAGGUUUUCGGAUCGGAAAGCUCUGUUGUAAGAGAAGAACGAGUGUGAGAGUGGAAAGUUCACACUGUGGCGGUAUCUUACCAGAAAGGAACGGCUAACUACGUG